CGAGGAGGAAGUAAACUCCGGUCUGCUGGGCCACAGAUAGACUGAUAGAUUGUGGCAAACUUGGGGAGCAGGCUUUGUUCUCCAGUGUGAACCUCACCUCACAUAACAAUUGCAGGACAAUCAUGGCUUCUCAAAACUCCCACGGAAAAAAAAGAAGCUCACUCUGUUUCAAGGACUCAAGAGGAAACCGGACGUGGUGGCUCACGCCUGUAAUCCCGGCACUGGGGAGGCUGAGGCAGGAGGAUCGUUGCGAGUUCGAGACCAGCCUGGGCUGCAAAGUGAGCUCAAGGACACUCUGAACUGCAUAGCGAGACCCCCAUCUCAAAAAAAGGAAAAAAAAAAAAAAACAUGCAUGAGUAAAUGCGGACCUUAGGCUCACCCCGAAACCCUUGCUAGCAGGCAUUCGGAUGGCGAAACUUUCCAAUCUAAUUUCCGGAAAACUCAGCUAUGUUCCAAACUAGAGCCUCUUUAUGUAUGCUAUGGAUUUUUCAUUCUAAUGGACCAGAACCCACGUGAAGCAGGUGCACACACUGCUCUGGAGAGCAGCUUUAUUAUCAGGGAAGCUGGCUGCUUGGGGACCGAAACAGCCGCCCUUGGCCUGGGGAAAGGUGCCGUCCUUUCUUAAUGACUGGGUGUCCUCUUCCCGAAAAGAGAUCUCUCCUGUUCUCAGAAGGUUUCAUGGUCAUGUCCUGUGAAGGAAAUAGUCCCCUGUGAGAAGUGAACAGGAUGACUGAAGGACAGCACAGGACCAAGAGGAACAGAGGGCGACCUGGCGUUUGCACAGCUCAGGAUUCGGGAAGGCGGCAGCAGGCUUAAUGGGAGAAGAGGAAGAGGAUGGCAUGCAUGGAGAGGGCACAAGAUGGUAAAAUUACUCAAAGUGCUCCUCGAUUAAAACAAGAUAUUCUUCAAGAUGCACUUGAAAGCAGUUGUGAUGUCCUGCUGUUAUUUGGAAUGACUUGCAAUUUUUUCUUUUUUCUACCAAAUUCAAAGAGGAGACAGGUGAGGGGAAGGGCUGAAAUCCCAGCACUUGGGAGGCUAAGAAGUAUUUCUUUGAUUUCAAGGCAAGUUUGAGCUGUACAGUGAAUUGAACGAUAGCAUGCACUGUGCACCCAAACCCUGCAUCCAGAAAUUUUAAAAUGGCAAAAAUAACAAGUAACAGACAAAUGGUAAAAUCUCUUCCUCCAAUGCUGUAUUUUUCUGUUUUUGUCUUUUCAUUUCUUUUCUUUCUUUGACAUCCAAAAUCUUUUCACAUCCAAAUAUGAAUAGGGAUGUCACAGACCCUGGGUGCACUCACACCCAGCUCACGCGAUGUCUUGCGUGCCUAGUAAGACAUCUUUGCUCACAGAUCCACUUUAUCUUCAUUGACAGGACCCUCCAGCUGACUCCAUCAGUGGGCAGCUACACCUUCACUAUGCAUGUGCUUUCCUAUUCAAUACGAAUCUUGGUGUCUACAGAAGUACAGAAACAAUAAUAAACAUCACAGUGUUACGGAAA
Long non-coding RNA from Cavia porcellus (domestic guinea pig), 1494 nucleotides. RefSeq lists it as uncharacterized. The transcript is spliced from 2 exons. NCBI's taxonomy places the organism in Eukaryota, Metazoa, Chordata, Mammalia, Rodentia, Caviidae. The record is from RefSeq and is a predicted model, not a curated record.